AAAUGGCAGCGAAGCAAACGACGAUCCUAGUUGCCGCCAUCCUCGUAACGGCUUUUUACGGCGGCGCGGCGACAUCGGCGCAGGCACCGGCAGCUGAUCCAGCGAUGGCCAUGUCGCCGUCCGCCAUGGCACCGACGCCGGACUGUAUGACGAACUUGCUCAACUUAUCGGAUUGUUUGACGUACGUGGAGGCCGGAAGCAACUUGACGAAGCCGGACAAGCCUUGCUGUCCGGAAUUGGCUGGGCUAGUGGAAAGUAGCCCUCAAUGCUUGUGCUAUUUGAUGGAUAAGAAUGCGACGGCGAACUAUGGGAUCAACAUUGACAUGGAAAGAGCUCUUAAGCUGCCUAAUGUUUGCCAUGUCAAAACCCCUCCUGUUAGUCUUUGUUCUGGUAAUUCUACCUUUCCCUCUUCUUUUUUUACAACCUUUCAUGAAUUUUUGAUGGAGUAUAACUGGUCUUGUUGUUUGGAUUGAGAAUUGGCGGGUAAAGGAUUGAAUAAUUUUGAGUGAGAAAAUAACAACCGAAAAUUAAAACAGGAAAACUGAUUGAAUUGAUUUAUAGAUUUUUUUAAUUGUUUAUUUAGUUAUUGGAUGAAUAUAACGAGGAGAAUUAAAUAUUGAACUCAAAUUUGUUAUAAUUGUUAGCGUUAAUUGUAAGAUAUUUUCAAACUAUACUUUCGAUUUUAAAUUUGGUUCGAAAGUUUAAAAAUAUUGUAAUUAAAUUUUUAAAUUUUUUUAGAAUAUUCUUUAUAUCAAGAUGGUCUUUUCCGUUAGUAUUUCAUAAAUUUAAGCUUCAAAUGUCAAUUCAAAAUUGAUAUGUAUAACUUUAGAUCUUAUGUUUUCGAAAAAGAUAGACGUUAACAAUUUAGGUAGAUUAUAUUUUAUUUUAUUACAUUGAAUCUAAGCUGUUAUGCAUUAAGUAUACACAUGUGUAUAAUUUGAUUUACGUGUUUUAAAUAUGCUCAAUAUUUUAUCCAACUAGAACUACUUGAUUGAUAUGAUAUUAAAAUAUUGAAAACUUAAUUAAAACAUCUUGAAGUUUUUGGACCAAUUUAACAUUUGGACCAUAGUUUGAAAACAUUUGUUAGAAUUAACCCAACAUUUUCAAAGAUAAUUACAAUAUGAAUUAUAUUGGUUCUUUUUAAUACAAUUUCUAAAUUUACUUAUAGUCUCAUAAAAUUCAUAAAUAAAAGAAUAAUAUGUUUUAGCGUACUUAAACUCAUGUCUUCUUAUAUUGACAAAAAUAUCCAUUCUAAUUGAACUAAAGCUCUAUCGACGAGUAGGAUUUUUUUUUGAUAACACAAUAUGAGUGAUUUUAUAGUAUUUUUUAAAAAUAUAUUUUUAAUGGUAAAAGUAUUAAUAUAUAAUCACAUUUAAUAAUAUACUUUGAAAUGAAGCUUUGACUGUGGAAUUUAUUAUUUCCCGAGGCUGUUUUAUAUAGUCUAUAAUAGUAGAAACAUAAUAUAUUUAUAAAUCAUAUAAAUUUUGGUUAAUACAUAUAUUCAUGAUAUUUUUUAUUUUAUUUUUUAAUGUUAAUUUUUAUACAUUAUAUUUAAAGAAUAGUUUGGGUGAUGGGGGGGAUAUAGUUGGGUCUCAUUUAAUAUGUUUGAUGGGGGCAUUUAAGGUUUCUCGGUUAGCUCUCAACUAAUUUUACCGCUCUGUCUUUUUUCCAAAUAAAUGAAUCACGUGCACACUGCCUUUUUCAUUUAAAUAAGAUUUUAUUACCAAAACAUUAAUGUUAUUUUUAAAAAAAAUCGUAAAAAUUGUUAAUUUUCACACGAGAAAUUAUUUUAUGUAAUUUUCUCAUAUUAUUCAUAAUUUUUAAUUAUUUAAUUAUAUUUCAAUAAAUUUUUUUUAUGUUAAUACAUAAUUUUAGUAAUUUUUUUUAUCUUGAACCAUAGUCCUGAAAUCUCAAAUCUUAAAUCUCAAAUCCUAAAUUUCGAACCUCAAAUUAUUUGAAAUUUAAAGUUUGAGGUUUGAAUUUGCGGUUCAAAAGUUCAUGUUUGAGAUUUAAAGUUCAGGAUUAAGGUUUAAAAUUUUGGAUUCUAGGUAAAAAAAUUAUUAUCACAUAUUAUAUUUAAUGUAAAUAUUAUUAUCAUUAAAAUUUUAAUUGAUAUUAACAAUUUGUAAUCCAAUUCUCGUCUCAAAAUUUUAAAAAUAGAACUUAAUCAAACUUUAAAAUCAAGUUUUAUUCAUUUACAUAAACCUUGAACUUUAAAUUUAAUAGUUGAAGUAUUAACAUUUAUUUCCAUGAAUUCAAACAGCUAUCAUCGGGGCUCCAAUCGGAGUUCCAACUCAAAGCACUGAAGGACUUGUGUCGCCAGCAUCCGAGCCAACAGGUUCCGUAGCAUACGGACCGUCUCCAUCCGCCAUGGCACCAACACCGGACUGCAUGACAAACUUGUUUAACUUGUCGGAUUGUUUGGGGUACGUGACGGCUGGAAGCAACCUAACGAAGCCGGACAAACCUUGUUGCCCGGAGUUGGCCGGGCUCGUGGAAAGCAGCCCUCAGUGUUUAUGUUUAUUGUUGGAUAAAAACGCGACCUCGAGUUAUGGGGUCGACAUUGACAUCGAUAGAGCUCUUAAGCUACCUAAUGUUUGCCAUGUUAAAACCCCUCCCGUUAGUCUCUGCUCUAGUAAGUAUAUUACUUUCUUUUAAGAAUUUAAUUAAGUCUUAAAAGUAUGGAUAAAAUAUCAAUCGAGAUAUUUAUUUAACUUAAUCAUUAUCUCCAACAUUAUAAGUUAAAUAUAUUGCAAAUACGUAAU
This 2765-nucleotide long non-coding RNA is filed under the name Gossypium barbadense (sea-island cotton). Its description in RNAcentral is "long non-coding RNA (GBAR_LNC022784)". Lineage: Eukaryota; Viridiplantae; Streptophyta; Magnoliopsida; Malvales; Malvaceae. The record is from RNAcentral.